AGGCCCCGAGGCGGAUCGGGUAUUGAGUCCAUGGAGCGAGCUGAGAGCUAGAGAACCUGCUAAGGCCAUCAAACCUAUCGAUCGGAAGUCAGUCCAUCAGAUUUGCUCUGGGCCGGUGGUACUGAGUCUAAGCACUGCGGUGAAGGAGUUAGUAGAAAACAGUCUGGAUGCUGGUGCCACCAAUAUUGAUCUAAAGCUUAAGGACUAUGGAGUGGAUCUCAUUGAAGUUUCAGACAAUGGAUGUGGGGUAGAAGAAGAAAACUUUGAAGGCUUAACGAUGUCACCAUUUCUACCUGCCACGCAUCGGCGAAGGUUGGGACUCGACUGGUGUUUGAUCACGAUGGGAAAAUCAUCCAGAAAACCCCCUACCCCCACCCCAGAGGGACCACAGUCAGCGUGAAGCAGUUAUUUUCUACACUACCUGUGCACCAUAAGGAAUUUCAAAGGAAUAUUAAGAAGACGUGCCUGUUUCCCCUUCGCCUUCUGCCGUGAUUGUCAGUUUCCUGAGGCCUCCCCAGCCAUGCUUCCUGUACAGCCUGCAGAACUACUGUCCCUGAAGUGUUGUCUACUGUUGUGGAGGCAAUCACUGUCAUUCCCAGGCACUGAGCCUCGAAACUGCAGAGUCAAAGGUGACCUCCUUUUCCCUGGCCGCUCACACCACCUCCAUCGAUUCUCCCUGGGCAGCACUUCUGCUGCCAGUGGCGUGACUUGGUCACGCAGGCCCUUCCUCUGGGCCACAGCCACUGUCUUCCAGCCAAUUGACCUUCUGAUUCCAGCUGUGGCUUCUCUCAACUUCCCACAGACGGCCUGAGACUGUGCCGACAGCAGAAUUGAUUCCUAUGAUCCUGAAUGUAAAGUCUGAGUAUCAAAUCUGCA
Molecule: long non-coding RNA, 876 nt
Organism: Homo sapiens (human)
Lineage: Eukaryota; Metazoa; Chordata; Mammalia; Primates; Hominidae
Gene: PMS2P4
Product: PMS1 homolog 2, mismatch repair system component pseudogene 4
Source: Ensembl